GUGAACGCUGGCGGUAGGCCUAACACAUGCCAGUCGAACGGCAGCACAGUAAGAGCUUGCUCUUACGGGUGGCGAGUGGCGGACGGGUGAGGAAUACAUCGGAAUCUACUUUUUCGUGGGGGAUAACGUAGGGAAACUUACGCUAAUACCGCAUACGACCUACGGGUGAAAGCAGGGGAUCUUCGGACCUUGCGCGAUCGAAUGAGCCGAUGUCGGAUUAGCUAGUUGGCGGGGUAAAGGCCCACCAAGGCGACGAUCCGUAGCUGGUCUGAGAGGAUGAUCAGCCACACUGGAACUGAGACACGGUCCAGACUCCUACGGGAGGCAGCAGUGGGGAAUAUUGGACAAUGGGCGCAAGCCUGAUCCAGCCAUACCGCGUGGGUGAAGAAGGCCUUCGGGUUGUAAAGCCCUUUUGUUGGGAAAGAAAAGCAGCAGGUUAAUACCCCGCUGUUCUGACGGUACCCAAAGAAUAAGCACCGGCUAACUUCGUG
RNAcentral lists this ribosomal RNA (491 nucleotides) under uncultured bacterium. RNAcentral describes it as "partial 16S ribosomal RNA". It matches the Rfam family "Bacterial small subunit ribosomal RNA", at positions 29 to 507 of the family's 1533-position model. The record is from RNAcentral.